GGAUGAAGAACGUAGCGAAAUGCGAUAAGUAAUGUGAAUUGCAGAAUUCAGUGAAUCAUCGAAUCUUUGAACGCACAUUGCGCCCAUUAGUAUUCUAGUGGGCAUGCCUGUUCGAGCGUCAUUUCAACCCUUAAGCCCCUGUUGCUUAGUGUUGGGAGCCUACGUCUCAGCGUAGCUCCUCAAAGUUAGUGGCAGAGUCAGUUCAAACUCUAGGCGUAGUAAAUUUCUUCUCGUCUCUGUAGUUGGGCUGCCCCUCGCCGUAAAACACCCCAAUUUUUAAAGGUUGACCUCGGAUCAGGUAGGAAUACCCGCUGAACUUAAGCAUAUCAAUAAGCGGAGGA
RNAcentral lists this unclassified non-coding RNA (341 nucleotides) under soil metagenome. Its description in RNAcentral is "partial contains 5.8S ribosomal RNA, internal transcribed spacer 2, and large subunit ribosomal RNA". The stretch from base 2 to 121 matches the Rfam family "5.8S ribosomal RNA", at positions 35 to 154 of the family's 154-position model. The record is from RNAcentral.